Molecule: ribosomal RNA, 752 nt
Filed under: uncultured bacterium
Lineage: Bacteria
Description: bacterial SSU rRNA
Rfam family: Bacterial small subunit ribosomal RNA
Source: RNAcentral
UUUAUUGCUGAAAGAUGGCCUCGCGUCUGAUUAGCUGGUUGGUGAGGUAACGGCCCACCAAGGCGACGAUCAGUAGCCGGUCUGAGAGGAUGAACGGCCGCAUUGGGACUGAGAUACGGCCCAGACUCCUACGGGAGGCAGCAGUGGGGAAUAUUGGGCAAUGGGGGAAACCCUGACCCAGCAACGCCGCGUGAAGGAAGAAGGCCUUCGGGUUGUAAACUUCUUUUACCAGGGACGAAAAAGAUGACGGUACCUGGAGAAAAAGCAACGGCUAACUACGUGCCAGCAGCCGCGGUAAUACGUAGGUUGCAAGCGUUGUCCGGAUUUACUGGGUGUAAAGGGCGUGUAGGCGGAGAUGCAAGUUGGGAGUGAAAUCCAUGGGCUCAACCCAUGAACUGCUCUCAAAACUGUAUCCCUUGAGUAUCGGAGAGGCAAGCGGAAUUCCUAGUGUAGCGGUGAAAUGCGUAGAUAUUAGGAGGAACACCAGUGGCGAAGGCGGCUUGCUGGACGACAACUGACGCUGAGGCGCGAAAGCAUGGGGAGCAAACAGGAUUAGAUACCCUGGUAGUCCACGCUGUAAACGAUGAAUACUAGGUGUGGGAGGACUGACCCCUUCCGUGCCGCAGUUAACACAAUAAGUAUUCCACCUGGGGAGUACGACCGCAAAGGUUGAAACUCAAAGGAAUUGACGGGGGCCCGCACAAGCAGUGGAUUAUGUGGUUUAAUUCGACGCACCGCGAAGAACCUUACCA